GCCGGGUUGAUGGAAUUGCUAGACAUGGAAAGUUUAAGCCUUUCUGACCAGACGGUUAUGCAGGUUGGAAUCCUGCACCCGGUACCA
RNAcentral lists this transfer RNA (87 nucleotides) under Candidatus Faecinaster equi. RNAcentral describes it as "tRNA-Leu". Lineage: Bacteria; Pseudomonadati; Bacteroidota; Bacteroidia; Bacteroidales; Bacteroidaceae. The record is from RNAcentral.